Long non-coding RNA from Felis catus (domestic cat), 1063 nucleotides. RefSeq lists it as uncharacterized. The record is from RefSeq and is a predicted model, not a curated record. The transcript is spliced from 3 exons. NCBI's taxonomy places the organism in Eukaryota, Metazoa, Chordata, Mammalia, Carnivora, Felidae.
GUUUUAGAUGUCCAGAUUAGCAGUCACUACUACCGAAUAUUUUCUAUCUGACAGGCGCUGUGUGAGGAGCUUGACUUGAAAUGACGUCACUGAAACCUCACACUCUGCAAGUGCGCUGUGAAAAUGGAAAUAGAUUCUUAGAGCCUCUUGAUGACAUCUUGUUGGAAUAUAAGACAUAUUGCGUUGAGAUUUGUGAUCUGCAAGAAUUCCAUCUGCACGAUUCACCGGAGACAGUGCCACUGAUGAUUCCAAAUGGUCUAUUCUGCUUAUUUAUUUACCUGCUUAAUAAUAGCAAAUUCAACUGAAAGGACAAUUCGAUUUGGAGGCUUCAGUCAAUUAUUCUAUUUCUUGGAAUGGCUUGUGUGGAACAAAGAGUGGUCCACAUUUUGUUUGAGGCAGUUAAUUUUAUUCUUCCUGAAUAUACUUCAGGGAUUUGUAAAGAAACCACUACCAAGGACCAUCUUACCAGGGCUCAUCAUUGGCUGAACCCAGCCAGAACACAGAGGAUGUGGAAAUCCUGUUGAUGCAGAGGAUAAGUCAGACUUCCAAGACAGAGAGCAGAGUGAAGAAGUUUGGCAAGUAGAGUGGAAGAUGCAUUAUAUACAACUAUAGCUUUCUUUUCAAGAGAUUUUUCUUUAGCUCCAUUGAAAGAAAGGAUUUCUAAAAGACAUAAAUAUACAUUGUACAUUUAUUUAAAUGGAAGUCUCUCUCUACACAGUAUCGCCAUUUAUUCCGAAGUCAUUUAAUGAUUUAUUCAUUUUGGAAAAUAUUUCGGACAUAUAUAAGAGGGUUUGUAUAGAAAGAAGAGUUAUAUAGCUAAAAUACAGCUUAAUAUAUAAAACAUUAUGAAAAAUGAAUCAAAGUCCUUAGAUGUUCUCUCUAUUCACAUUCUUUUCCUCCUCUGCAGAGGUAGCCAGCCUCUGGAAUCUGGUGAAUAUUCUCAUUCAUUUCUUUGAUUGUUAAUAUUUACCUUUACCCACCCAAACAAUAUAUAGAAUUGUUGUUGUUCAGUUAGUAUAAUUCAGUUAUACAAGAUGCAUACAUUCUAGAGAUCUAAUGUACA